Molecule: non-coding RNA, 96 nt
Organism: Acanthosepion pharaonis
Lineage: Eukaryota; Metazoa; Mollusca; Cephalopoda; Sepiida; Sepiidae
Source: the annotation of a GenBank genome assembly
UGAUACACCGAUUCUCGUAAUAUCCCCGAAGUUAAGUAAAGUUGAGCCAGAUCACUACCUUGAUGAGUGACCGCUUGGAAAUACCAGGUGCUGCAA